RNAcentral lists this ribosomal RNA (432 nucleotides) under uncultured bacterium. RNAcentral describes it as "bacterial SSU rRNA". It matches the Rfam family "Bacterial small subunit ribosomal RNA", at positions 917 to 1344 of the family's 1533-position model. The record is from RNAcentral.
GGGCCCGCACAAGCGGUGGAGCAUGUGGUUUAAUUCGACGCAACGCGAAGAACCUUACCAGCCCUUGACAUUGCUAAGUCGCGAGUCUUAGAGAUAAGACUCUUCAGUUCGGCUGGACUUAGUACAGGUGCUGCAUGGCUGUCGUCAGCUCGUGUCGUGAGAUGUUGGGUUAAGUCCCGCAACGAGCGCAACCCUUGUCCUUAGUUGCCAUCAAUUCGGUUGGGCACUCUAGGGAGACUGCCGGUGAUAAACCGGAGGAAGGCGGGGAUGACGUCAAGUCCUCAUGGCCCUUAUGGGCUGGGCUACACACGUGCUACAAUGGCGUCUACAACGGGUCGCGAUAGGGUAACCUAGAGCUAAUCCCCAAAGGACGUCUCAGUUCGGAUUGUACUCUGCAACUCGAGUACAUGAAGUUGGAAUCGCUAGUAAUCG